RNAcentral lists this transfer RNA (76 nucleotides) under Acidobacteriota bacterium. Its description in RNAcentral is "Acidobacteria bacterium tRNA-Ala". It matches the Rfam family "tRNA". Rfam says of the family: Transfer RNA (tRNA) molecules are approximately 80 nucleotides in length. Their secondary structure includes four short double-helical elements and three loops (D, anti-codon, and T loops). Further hydrogen bonds mediate the characteristic L-shaped molecular structure. tRNAs have two regions of fundamental functional importance: the anti-codon, which is responsible for specific mRNA codon recognition, and the 3' end, to which the tRNAs corresponding amino acid is attached (by aminoacyl-tRNA synthetases). tRNAs cope with the degeneracy of the genetic code in two manners: having more than one tRNA (with a specific anti-codon) for a particular amino acid; and 'wobble' base-pairing, i.e. permitting non-standard base-pairing at the 3rd anti-codon position. The record is from RNAcentral. RNAcentral also lists the same sequence under 1 other name. Lineage: Bacteria; Pseudomonadati; Acidobacteriota.
GGGCGGUUAGCUCAGUUGGGAGAGCGCUGCACUCGCACUGCAGAGGUCGAGGGUUCGACUCCCUUACCGUCCACCA